GAUGAACGCUGGCGGCGUGCCUAAUACAUGCAAGUCGAGCGAACAGAUGAGAAGCUUGCUUCUCUGAUGUUAGCGGCGGACGGGUGAGUAACACGUGGGUAACCUACCUAUAAGACUGGGAUAACUCCGGGAAACCGGGGCUAAUACCGGAUAAUAUUUUAAACCGCAUGGUUCAAUAGUGAAAGACGGUUUCGGCUGUCACUUAUAGAUGGACCCGCGCCGUAUUAGCUAGUUGGUAAGGUAACGGCUUACCAAGGCGACGUUACGUAGCCGACCUGAGAGGGUGAUCGGCCACACUGGAGCUGAGACACGGUCCAGACUCCUACGGGAGGCAGCAGUAGGGAAUCUUCCGCAAUGGGCGAACGCCUGACGAAGCAACGCCGCGUGAGUGAUGAAGGUCUUCGGAUCGUAAACCUCUGUUGUUAGGGAAGAACAAAUUUGUUAGUAACUGAACAAGUCUUGACGGUACCUAACCAGAAAGCCACGGCUAACUACGUGCCAGCCGCCGUAAUAC
Molecule: ribosomal RNA, 514 nt
Filed under: uncultured bacterium
Lineage: Bacteria
Description: partial 16S ribosomal RNA
Rfam family: Bacterial small subunit ribosomal RNA
Source: RNAcentral